UCAAAGUCGGUGAGCCCCAAGCCCAGGUCCGGCGAGCCUCACACCUUGGUUUGUCAAGCCACACACUCAGCUGGUCCAUCGAGCCUCGCACCCAUUCAUUGACCCUCGUGUUCAGAUCUGCAACCUCGGGGGCUCAGAUUCGCCUCCUCCUUAUCAAAUCUUCCUCCUCCGGUUGCCACAAUUCGCGACCUCUUUCAGAUGCCCCAAUUCGACUCACAAGCAGUUAUAAUUAUGCCUCUGUUGCAAUGGGAAUAGUAGGAGUAAAAUGAGAUAAUUUGCAAGAACACCGAAGAUAAAAAGGUAUUUGAUGAAUCUGUCGACGACUGGGCUUCUAGAUCUAAGUUCUUGAAUAUGUGUUUGAUGUUGGAACUAACUCGUUUUUCGUAUCUUUUUGUUUUCAGAUUUUGGUUGCGGCUGGUUUUCUUGAUCUGAUUUUAGUUUAUGAUUAGUUUGGCUUUCGAUUCUGAGUUUGGAUUUGGGUAUUACAUUUUUUAAUUUGAAUGGUCAUUAGAGAUGUUGAAAAUUGAAUUGGGAUUUGAAUGAGUUUGGGGCU
Humulus lupulus (European hop) is the source of this 553-nucleotide long non-coding RNA. RefSeq lists it as uncharacterized. The record is from RefSeq and is a predicted model, not a curated record. The transcript is spliced from 2 exons. NCBI's taxonomy places the organism in Eukaryota, Viridiplantae, Streptophyta, Magnoliopsida, Rosales, Cannabaceae.